CUGAAGACGUAAAUGCCAUGUCUGGUAUGGUACAGUGGCAGGAUGUAUUUUGGGAGCUUUGCCACUCCUUGUCUCCGCAUCAACUUGAAGAUCCCCCCUUGGCAAGGAGCCAUUUCUGCCUGAGUUGCACCAGCCUGGGCAGGGUCCUGCUGCCAGAACGCCCGUGCUGUCUCCUCCUCCCUGGCUCUCUCAGCCAGAGGACCAUUCUCCCAAUUAGCUGUUAAUCCUGUGCUCCUCUCCUCCCUCUGGCUGCCCCAACAGCAUCACCCCCUGCAUUUUAUUUUACCUGCUGAACAUACAGAAUGAGGAUGAGAUGGCUGAACUGCUGCAAUGUGAAAAGCAGCUGCCAUGGCUGGUGAGUACCUGGAUUUUCAUGUUCAGAUGUGGCAGUGGGGGCAAUGGGACAGUGCCCUUACUG
Molecule: long non-coding RNA, 418 nt
Filed under: Junco hyemalis (dark-eyed junco)
Lineage: Eukaryota; Metazoa; Chordata; Aves; Passeriformes; Passerellidae
Description: lncRNA (ENSJHYG00000000952.1)
Source: RNAcentral